This 489-nucleotide unclassified non-coding RNA is filed under the name Zea mays. RNAcentral's name for it is "misc RNA Zm00001eb343130". Lineage: Eukaryota; Viridiplantae; Streptophyta; Magnoliopsida; Poales; Poaceae. The record is from RNAcentral.
CGGGAGAGGUAGCUCGGCGACCAAGAGAGGAACGCCGGGCAGAGACGCGCAGGCACAUGGGCUGGGCGAACUCGGCAAGACUCCAUGGGAGGGCUCGGCACAGUGGAGCAGGGAGGAAGGAGAGGGGUGCGUGCCAGGGCUGGGAGCUGGGCGACCUGCACAGGGAAGAACGCCAUGGAGGGGUCUUGAGAAAUCGGCGCGCGUCGAUGGCAAACGCAGGGCGCGACGGAGGGACUCGAGCGAGCUAGAGAAAGCGCCAGUAGAGGGAUUUGUAGGAGCUCAAGGGUGGUGGCUUGAGCGGCAUUGGGAUGACGACGGCGGAAUCUUCACCGGCGGUGAGCGGCGGGAUAAGGCCAGACGACCAGAUUUUUCCAUCCAGCGCGUCGGCUGGAAUAUCUGGAGCGCUGAGAGCAAGUGUCCAGGCGGUGUGCUGGUGAUCCACAGAAACAACCAGAGCAGACGCUGGAAAUCAUCGCUUGAGGAGAAGGC